Molecule: transfer RNA, 64 nt
Filed under: Aptinothrips stylifer
Lineage: Eukaryota; Metazoa; Arthropoda; Insecta; Thysanoptera; Thripidae
Description: tRNA-Tyr
Source: RNAcentral
UAGUAAGAGAACACUUGUUCAUAAGUAAAUUUACAAUUUACCAUCUUAUUUAGAUUACCUUACU